AGUGGUAUAGCUCAGUGGUAGAGCCAGUGCUUAGCAUGCAUGAGGUCCUGGGUUCAAUCUCCAGUACCUCCA
This is a transfer RNA of Camelus ferus (Wild Bactrian camel), 72 nucleotides long. It matches the Rfam family "tRNA". Rfam says of the family: Transfer RNA (tRNA) molecules are approximately 80 nucleotides in length. Their secondary structure includes four short double-helical elements and three loops (D, anti-codon, and T loops). The record is from Rfam. NCBI's taxonomy places the organism in Eukaryota, Metazoa, Chordata, Mammalia, Artiodactyla, Camelidae.